This 72-nucleotide transfer RNA is filed under the name Bos taurus (domestic cattle). It matches the Rfam family "tRNA". Rfam says of the family: Transfer RNA (tRNA) molecules are approximately 80 nucleotides in length. Their secondary structure includes four short double-helical elements and three loops (D, anti-codon, and T loops). Lineage: Eukaryota; Metazoa; Chordata; Mammalia; Artiodactyla; Bovidae. The record is from Rfam by way of RNAcentral. RNAcentral also lists the same sequence under 5 other names.
UCCCUGGUGAUUUAGUGGUUAGGAUUCUGGGCUUUCACUGCUGCAGCCUGGGUUCAAACCCUGGUCAGGGAG